RNAcentral lists this long non-coding RNA (313 nucleotides) under Lathyrus oleraceus (garden pea). RNAcentral's name for it is "Pisum sativum (pea) long non-coding RNA (PSAT_LNC002255)". Lineage: Eukaryota; Viridiplantae; Streptophyta; Magnoliopsida; Fabales; Fabaceae. The record is from RNAcentral.
GAGAAGAAAUAAGGGAUGCUCUGGUGGAGAAAUGGUUCCGAUUGCGGUUAGGGAAGUAAGAGGAGGUAAGACGCAAUCUGGUGGAAGUUGAGUGGCGGCGGAGGAAAGGAGGUGGAGGAGGAGAAAACCUAGAUGGAAGUUCCGAUUGCGGUUAGGGAAGUAAGAGGAGGUAAGACGCAAUCUGGUGGAAGUUGAGUGGCGGCGGAGGAAAGGAGGUGGAGGAGGAGAAAACCUAGAUGGAGUGAAAGGGAACAGAACGGAGAAGUGAGAUAAGUAUGUGCUGCUUGUGAGGGAUAGAGAGCGAACAGGUGCC